UCGAUCCAGGGGCCGCCAAGCGGCGGGGCGGGCACUCUUCCGGCAUCCGCCGCCGCCCCCUUGCCACCACCUACCAAGCCCCUGCAGCCUAGAAACCCGCCACCCGAGAGGCACUACUGCUCAGCCCAGACAGUAGCCGCCGCCGCUGCCGCCGCUGCCGCCGUUGCCGCCGCUGGCUAAGGAAGAGCCAUAUUACCGCAGUGCAACCCCUCCACCCCGCUGAGACCCGGAGCGCUCAUUGGCUUAGCCCUCAAGGGGGCGGGACCCAACGGCAGAAAAGGGGCGUGCUAUUGGGUAGAAGAGAGCCACCACGCAGGAUGCACUGGGACCUGAGAACCGUCGGGCAGUCCCACGAGCUCUUUCAUGACCAGCUCCAACCGACAAGUACACGCCCCUUCGCACUCCACUAGCUAGUAAGCUGAGCUACAAGGUGUGCCAGGCACC
Homo sapiens (human) is the source of this 444-nucleotide long non-coding RNA. Ensembl annotates it as UVRAG divergent transcript. Its record names the gene UVRAG-DT. NCBI's taxonomy places the organism in Eukaryota, Metazoa, Chordata, Mammalia, Primates, Hominidae. The record is from Ensembl.